Molecule: transfer RNA, 67 nt
Filed under: Habrophlebiodes zijinensis
Lineage: Eukaryota; Metazoa; Arthropoda; Insecta; Ephemeroptera; Leptophlebiidae
Description: tRNA-Ser
Source: RNAcentral
AGAAAUGUGGGGUUCAUAAGAGGGCUGCUAACUUUCUUAUUAGUGGUUAAAAUCCAUUAACAUUUCU